RNAcentral lists this ribosomal RNA (686 nucleotides) under uncultured Glomeromycotina. Its description in RNAcentral is "SSU rRNA". It matches the Rfam family "Eukaryotic small subunit ribosomal RNA", at positions 427 to 1115 of the family's 1831-position model. The record is from RNAcentral. Lineage: Eukaryota; Fungi; Glomeromycota.
AGCAGGCGCGCAAAUUACCCAAUCCCGACACGGGGAGGUAGUGACAAUAAAUAACAAUACGGGGUUCUUUCGGAUCUCGUAAUUGGAAUGAGUACAAUUUAAAUCUCUUAACGAGGAACAAUUGGAGGGCAAGUCUGGUGCCAGCAGCCGCGGUAAUUCCAGCUCCAAUAGCGUAUAUUAAAGUUGUUGCAGUUAAAAAGCUCGUAGUUGAAUUUCGGGAUNAGANNGUCGGUCGUGCCUCGGUACGCACUGGCAUUAUUGGUUCCUACCUUCUGAAGAACCGCGAUGUCAUUAAUUUGGUGUCGUGGGGAAUCAGGACUGUUACUUUGAAAAAAUUAGAGUGUUUAAAGCAGGCGCACGCUUGAAUACAUUAGCAUGGAAUAAUGAAAUAGGACGUUUGAUUCUAUUUUGUUGGUUUCUAGGAUCGACGUAAUGAUUAAUAGGGAUAGUUGGGGGCAUUAGUAUUCAAUUGUCAGAGGUGAAAUUCUUGGAUUUAUUGAAGACUAACUACUGCGAAAGCAUUUGCCAAGGAUGUUUUCAUUAAUCAAGAACGAAAGUUAGGGGAUCGAAGACGAUCAGAUACCGUCGUAGUCUUAACCAUAAACUAUGCCGACUAGGGAUCGGAUGAUGUUGAUUUUAUAAUGACUCAUUCGGCGCCUUACGGGAAACCAAAGUGUUUGGGUUCA